GGGCCCUUAGAUCAGUUGGUAGAUCGCCUGCCUUGCACGCAGGAGGCCGGGGGUUCGAGUCCCCCAGGGUCCA
This 73-nucleotide transfer RNA is filed under the name Methanobacteriota archaeon. Its description in RNAcentral is "Euryarchaeota archaeon (marine metagenome) tRNA-Ala". It matches the Rfam family "tRNA". From Rfam's summary of the family: Transfer RNA (tRNA) molecules are approximately 80 nucleotides in length. Lineage: Archaea; Methanobacteriati; Methanobacteriota. The record is from RNAcentral. RNAcentral also lists the same sequence under 2 other names.